GUCUCUGUGGCGCAAUUGGUAAGCGCGUUCGGCUGUUAACCGAAAGGUUGGUGGUUCAAGCCCACCCAGGGACG
Manacus vitellinus (golden-collared manakin) is the source of this 74-nucleotide non-coding RNA. The record is from Rfam. Lineage: Eukaryota; Metazoa; Chordata; Aves; Passeriformes; Pipridae.